This 1476-nucleotide ribosomal RNA is filed under the name Weissella confusa. RNAcentral describes it as "bacterial SSU rRNA". It matches the Rfam family "Bacterial small subunit ribosomal RNA". The record is from RNAcentral. Lineage: Bacteria; Bacillati; Bacillota; Bacilli; Lactobacillales; Lactobacillaceae.
AUUUCCCAGGUUAAAUUUGGCCUUUAAUUCGGGAAAAACUUUUAAGAUAGGGGUAACCCGGGUGGGGUGGUUCCGUUGGGAAAAACGGGGGACAUCGUUUGGGCCGGGGAAAUUCUUUGAACAAGUUGUUAUCUUUGUAAACCAUAACCCCCCCAGGGUUUUUUUUAAAAAGGUGGUUUGGGAUUCCAUAAAGGGGGGUCCCCGGGAACUAUUAAAUAAUGCUAAGUUAAGGUUUCCCAAGGCCAAGGUUCAUAGGCCAUUUGAGGGAUUGAUCGGCACAAUGGACUGAGACACGGCCCAUACUCUACGGAGGCAGCAGUAGGGAAUCUUCCACAAUGGGCGAAAGCCUGAUGGAGCAACGCCGCGUGUGUGAUGAAGGGUUUCGGCUCGUAAAACAUUGUUGUAAGAGAAGAAUGACAUUGAGAGUAACUGUUCAAUGUGUGACGGUAUCUUACCAGAAAGGAACGGCUAAAUACGUGCCAGCAGCCGCGGUAAUACGUAUGUUCCAAGCGUUAUCCGGAUUUAUUGGGCGUAAAGCGAGCGCAGACGGUUAUUUAAGUCUGAAGUGAAAGCCUUCAGCUCAACUGAGGAAUUGCUUUGGAAACUGGAUGACUUGAGUGCAGUAGAGGAAAGUGGAACUCCAUGUGUAGCGGUGAAAUGCGUAGAUAUAUGGAAGAACACCAGUGGCGAAGGCGGCUUUCUGGACUGUAACUGACGUUGAGGCUCGAAAGUGUGGGUAGCAAACAGGAUUAGAUACCCUGGUAGUCCACACCGUAAACGAUGAGUGCUAGGUGUUUGAGGGUUUCCGCCCUUAAGUGCCGCAGCUAACGCAUUAAGCACUCCGCCUGGGGAGUACGACCGCAAGGUUGAAACUCAAAGGAAUUGACGGGGACCCGCACAAGCGGUGGAGCAUGUGGUUUAAUUCGAAGCAACGCGAAGAACCUUACCAGGUCUUGACAUCCCUUGACAACUCCAGAGAUGGAGCGUUCCCUUCGGGGACAAGGUGACAGGUGGUGCAUGGUUGUCGUCAGCUCGUGUCGUGAGAUGUUGGGUUAAGUCCCGCAACGAGCGCAACCCUUAUUACUAGUUGCCAGCAUUCAGUUGGGCACUCUAGUGAGACUGCCGGUGACAAACCGGAGGAAGGUGGGGAUGACGUCAAAUCAUCAUGCCCCUUAUGACCUGGGCUACACACGUGCUACAAUGGCGUAUACAACGAGUUGCCAACCCGCGAGGGUGAGCUAAUCUCUUAAAGUACGUCUCAGUUCGGAUUGUAGGCUGCAACUCGCCUACAUGAAGUCGGAAUCGCUAGUAAUCGCGGAUCAGCACGCCGCGGUGAAUACGUUCCCGGGUCUUGUACACACCGCCCGUCACACCAUGAGAGUUUGUAACACCCAAAGCCGGUGGGGUAACCUUCGGGAGCCAGCCGUCUAAGGUGGGACAGAUGAUUAGGGUGAAGUCGUAACAAGUGCCAUGGCA